UAGACGUGUACUUCCUUCCUUUCCAAUCAAGAAUCCAACACUCGCACCAGCUCUACAUAUGCGAACAGCUGCAUUGCCACAGUUAUUUGCUUCAGGUCAAAGCAAAAAGCAUUUGUUGGUGCAUUACUGGUCUUUCCCACCUGUUGAUGUAAAAAAGACAUCACAGCAUCUCCUCUACAAAAUAAAUGGAUCAUUUUUAACCAU
This is a non-coding RNA of Pimephales promelas (fathead minnow), 204 nucleotides long. The record is from RefSeq and is a predicted model, not a curated record. NCBI's taxonomy places the organism in Eukaryota, Metazoa, Chordata, Actinopteri, Cypriniformes, Leuciscidae.